GAUAACAAGAUGCAGUAAACAAC
Molecule: non-coding RNA, 23 nt
Filed under: Arabidopsis thaliana (thale cress)
Lineage: Eukaryota; Viridiplantae; Streptophyta; Magnoliopsida; Brassicales; Brassicaceae
Source: RNAcentral